RNAcentral lists this non-coding RNA (27 nucleotides) under Rattus norvegicus (Norway rat). The record is from RNAcentral. Lineage: Eukaryota; Metazoa; Chordata; Mammalia; Rodentia; Muridae.
GAAGACUAAUCAGCUAUGUGUGGAGAC